CAUGCAAGUCGAACGAAGGCCCUAGCUUGCUAGGUGUCCUUAGUGGCGCACGGGUGAGUAACACGUGGGAACAUACCUUAUAGUACGGAAUAACUGCGGGAAACUGUAGCUAAUACCGUAUAUUCCAGUAAUGGGAAAGAUUUAUCGCUAUAAGAUUGGCCCGCGCAAGAUUAGCUUGUUGGUGAGGUAAGAGCUCACCAAGGCUUCGAUCUUUAGCUGGUUUGAGAGGAUGAUCAGCCACACUGGGACUGAGACACGGCCCAGACUCCUACGGGAGGCAGCAGUAGGGAAUAUUGGACAAUGGGGGAAACCCUGAUCCAGCAAUGCAGCGUGAGUGACGAAGGCCUUAGGGUUGUAAAACUCUUUCAUCGGUGAGGAUAAUGACAGUAGCCGAAGAAGAAGGACCGGCUAAUUCCGUGCCAGCAGCCGCGGUAAUACGGAAGGUCCUAGCGUUGUUCGGAAUUACUGGGCGUAAAGCGCAUGUAGGCGGAACAGAAAGUUAGAAGUGAAAUCCCUGGGCUCAACCUAGGAAUUGCUUUUAAAACUUCUGUUCUGGAAUUCAGGAGAGGAAAAUGGAAUUUCCAGUGUAGAGGUGAAAUUCGUAGAUAUUGGAAGGAACACCAGUGGCGAAGGCGAUUUUCUGGACUGAUAUUGACG
This 657-nucleotide ribosomal RNA is filed under the name uncultured bacterium. Its description in RNAcentral is "bacterial SSU rRNA". It matches the Rfam family "Bacterial small subunit ribosomal RNA", at positions 54 to 745 of the family's 1533-position model. The record is from RNAcentral.